UACGAGGGGUGCAAGCGUUGCUCGGAAUUAUUGGGCGUAAAGGGCAGGUAGGUGGUCUCAUUUGUCAGGGGUGAAAGCCUUGGGCUUAACCCAAGAAGUGCCUUUGAAACGGUGAGACUGGAGUCUUGGAGAGGGUCGUGGAAUUCCCAGUGUAGCGGUGAAAUGCGUUAGAGAUUGGGAGGAACACCAGAGGCGAAGGCGGCGACCUGGACAAGUACUGACACUCAACUGCGAAAGCGUGGGUAGCAAACAGG
Molecule: ribosomal RNA, 254 nt
Filed under: uncultured bacterium
Lineage: Bacteria
Description: partial 16S ribosomal RNA
Rfam family: Bacterial small subunit ribosomal RNA
Source: RNAcentral